Molecule: ribosomal RNA, 468 nt
Filed under: uncultured bacterium
Lineage: Bacteria
Description: partial 16S ribosomal RNA
Rfam family: Bacterial small subunit ribosomal RNA
Source: RNAcentral
GACGAACGCUGGCGGCGUGCUUAACACAUGCAAGUCGAACGGAAAGGCCCUGCUUUUGUGGGGUGCUCGAGUGGCGAACGGGUGAGUAACACGUGAGUAACCUGCCCUUGACUUUGGGAUAACUUCAGGAAACUGGGGCUAAUACCGGAUAGGAGCUCCUGCUGCAUGGUGGGGGUUGGAAAGUUUCGGCGGGUGGGGAUGGACUGGCGGCUUAUCAGCUUGUUGGUGGGGUAGUGGCUUACCAAGGCUUUGACGGGUAGCCGGCCUGAGAGGGUGACCGGCCACAUGGGGACUGAGAUACGGCCCAGAGUCCUACGGGAGGCAGCAGUGGGGAAUAUUGCACAAUGGGCGGAAGCCUGAUGCAGCAACGCCGCGUGCGGGAUGACGGCCUUCGGGUUGUAAACCGCUUUCGCCUGUGACGAAGCGUGAGUGACGGUAAUGGGUAAAGAAGCACCGGCUAACUACGUG